CCUACGGGGGGCAGCAGUAGGGAAUCUUCCACAAUGGGCGAAAGCCUGAUGGAGCAACGCCGCGUGGGUGAAGAAGGUCUUCGGAUCGUAAAACCCUGUUGUUAGAGAAGAAAGUGCGUGAGAGUAACUCUUCACGUUUCGACGGUAUCUAACCAGAAAGCCACGGCUAACCACGUGCCAGCAGCCGCGGUAAUACGUAGGUGGCAAGCGUUAUCCGGAUUUAUUGGGCGUAAAGGGAACGCAGGCGGUCUUUUAAGUCUGAUGUGAAAGCCUUGGGCUUAACCGGAGUAGUGCAUUGGAAACUGGGAGACGUGAGGUCAGAAGAGGAGAGUGGAACUCCAUGUGUAGCGGUGAAAUGCGUAGAUAUAUGGAAGAACACCAGGGGCGAAGGCGGCUCUCUGGUCUGUAACUGACGCUGAGGUUCGAAAGCGUGGGUAGCAAACAGGAUUAGAUACCCCUGUAGUC
This 465-nucleotide ribosomal RNA is filed under the name uncultured bacterium. Its description in RNAcentral is "partial 16S ribosomal RNA". It matches the Rfam family "Bacterial small subunit ribosomal RNA", at positions 338 to 795 of the family's 1533-position model. The record is from RNAcentral.